This 460-nucleotide ribosomal RNA is filed under the name uncultured bacterium. Its description in RNAcentral is "partial 16S ribosomal RNA". It matches the Rfam family "Bacterial small subunit ribosomal RNA", at positions 338 to 795 of the family's 1533-position model. The record is from RNAcentral.
CCUACGGGUGGCAGCAGUGAGGAAUAUUGGUCAAUGGACGAGAGCCUGAACCAGCCAAGUAGCGUGAAGGAUGACUGCCCUACGGGUUGUAAACUUCUUUUAUAUGGGAAUAAAAUGUUCCACGUGUGGGUUUUUGUAUGUACUUUAUGAAUAAGGAUCGGCUAACUCCGUGCCAGCAGCCGCGGUAAUACGGAGGAUCCGAGCGUUAUCCGGAUUUAUUGGGUUUAAAGGGAGCGUAGGUGGGUUGUUAAGUCAGUUGUGAAAGUUUGCGGCUCAACCGUAAAAUUGCAGUUGAUACUGGCAGUCUUGAGUACAGUAGAGGUAGGCGGAAUUCGUGGUGUAGCGGUGAAAUGCUUAGAUAUCACGAAGAACUCCGAUUGCGAAGGCAGCCUACUAAACUGCCACUGACAUUGAUGCUCGAAAGUGUGGGUAUCAAACAGGAUUAGAUACCCCUGUAGUC